This 2938-nucleotide ribosomal RNA is filed under the name Capsicum baccatum. Its description in RNAcentral is "bacterial LSU rRNA". It matches the Rfam family "Bacterial large subunit ribosomal RNA". Lineage: Eukaryota; Viridiplantae; Streptophyta; Magnoliopsida; Solanales; Solanaceae. The record is from RNAcentral.
GUAAAGGCUUGCAGUGGAUACCUAGGCACCCAGAAAUGAAGAAGGGCAUAGUAAUCGACGAAAUUCUUUAGGGAGUAGAAAAUAAGCAUAGAUCCAGAGAUUUCCGAAUAGGAAAACAUUUCGAACUGCUGCUGAAUCCAUAGGAAGGCAAGAGACAACCUGGUGAACUAAAACAUCUUAGCAGCCAGAGGAAAAGAAAGCAAAAAUGAUUCCAGUAGUAGUGGCGAGCGAAAUAGGAGCAACCUAAACCAAGGAAAUAGGGUUGUGGGAGAGCAAUACAAGCAUCGUGCAACUAGGCAAAGAACCUAAAUGUUGAACCCGAGAUGGAGAAAGUCCAGUAGCCAAAAGCAUCACUAGCUUAUGCUCUAUCCCGAGUAGCAUGGGGCAUGUGGAAUCUCGUGUGAAUCAGCAAGGACCACCUUGCAAGGCUGAAUACUCCUAAGGACAGAUAGCGAAGUAGUACCAUGAGGAAAGGGUGAAAAGAACCCCCAUUGAGGAGUAAAAUAGAACAUGAAACCAUAAGCUCCCAAGCAGUGGGAGGAGCCAGGGCUCUAACCGCGUGCCUAUUCAAGAAUGAGCCAAUGACUCAUAGGCAGUGGCUUGGUUAAGGGAACCCACCAGAGCCGUAGCAAAAAUAAGUCUUCAUAGGGCAAUUGUCACUGCUUAUGGACCUGAACCUGGGUGAUCUAUCCAUGACCAGGAUGAAGCUUGGGUAAAACUAAGUGGAGGUCCGAACCAACUGAUGUGGAAGAAUCCUCGGAUGAGUUGUGGUUAGGGUUGAAAUGCCACUCAAACCCAGAGCUAGCUGGUUCUCCCCAAAAUUCAUUGAGGUGAAGUAAUUGACUGGACAUCUAGGGCUAAAGCACUAUUUUGGUGCGGGCUGCUAGAAUGGGGGAUAAGAUUCAUCGUCGAGAGGGAAAAAGCCCGGAUCACCAGCUAAGGCCCCUAAAUUACCGCUCAGUGAUAAAGGAGGUAGGGGUACGGAGACAGCCAGAAGGUUUGCCUAGAAGCAGCCACCCUUGAAAUAGUACAUAAUAGCUCACUGAUCGAGCGCUAUUGUAGAAAAGAUGAAUGGGGCUAAGUGAUCUGCCAAAGCUGUGGGGUGUAAAAAUACAUCGGUAGGGGAGCGUUCUUCCUUAGAGAAAAGCCUCCGCAUGAGCAGUGGUGGACGAAGUAGAAGCAAGAAUGUCAGCUUGAGUAACGCAACAUUGGUGAGAAUCUAAUGCCCCCAAAACCUAAGGGUUCCUCCACAAGGUUCGUCCAUAGAGGUUGAGUCAGGGCCUAAGAUCAGGCCAAAAGGUUAGUCGAUGGACAACAAGUGAAUAUUCCUUUACUACCCCUUGUUGGUCCAGAGGGACGGAGGAGGCUAGGUUAGCCGAAAAAUGGUUAUCAGUUCAAGAAUUUAAGGUGUCCCUAUAUUUUUUCAAGGUAAGAAGGGGUAGAUAAAAUGACUCAAGCCAAUGUUCGAAUACCGGGCGCUACGACGCUGAAGUAACCCAUGCCAUACUCCCAGGAAAAACUUGAAUGACUUUGAGCAAGAGGGUACCUGUACCCAAAAUCGACAAAGGUGGGUAGGUAGAGAAUACCUAAGGGUGCGAGACAACUCUCUCUAAGGAACUCAAAAAAAUAGCCCCAUAACUUCGGGAGAAGGGGGCCUCUUUACAUCACAAAGGGGGUGGCAAUGACCAGGCUCGGACGACUAUUUACCAAAAACAUAGGUAUCUGCAAAGUUGUAAGACCAUGUAUAGGGGCUGACGUCUGCCCAGUGCCGGAAGGUCAAGGAAGUUGGUGACCUGAUAAUAGGAGAGCCAACGAUCGUAGCCCCGGUGAAUGGUGACCAUAACAAUAAUGGUUGUAAGGUAGAAAAAAAUUUUGUUAGGUAAGUUCAGACCCAUACGAAAGGUGUAAUGAUUUGGGCUCUGUCUCGGAGAGAGGCUCGGUGAAAUAGACAUGUCUGUGAAGAUAUGGACUACCUGCACCUGGACAAAAAGACCCUAUGAAGCUUCACUGUUCCCUGGGAUUGGCUUUGGGCCUUUCCUACACAGCUUAGGUGGAAGGCAAAGAAGGCCUCCUUCCUAGGAGGGAGGGUGGGGGGCGAGCCAUCAGUGAGAUACCAUUCUGGUAGGGCUAGAAUUCUAACAUUGUGUCAGGACCUACGGGCUAAGGGAUAGUCUCAGGUAGAUAGUUUCUAUGGGGCAUAGUCCUCCCAAAAGGUAACAGAGGCAUCCAAAGGUUUUCUUAGGCAAGACAUAGAUUGGCCCUCGAGUGCAAAGGCAGAAGAGAGCUUGACUGCAAGACCCACCCAUUGAGCAGGGACAAAAGUCGGCCUUAGUAAUUAGAUAAUACCAAGUGGAAGUGCCAUUUCUUAAUGGAUAAAAGUUACUCUAGGGAUAACAGGUUGAUUUUCCCCAAAAUCUCACAUUGACGGGAAGGUUUGGCACCUCAAUGUCGGCUCUUCGCCACCUGGGGCUGUAGUAUGUUCUAAUGGUUGGGCUGUUCGCCCAUUAAAGCGGUACAUGAGCUGGGUUUAGAACAUUGUGAGACAGUUCGGUCCAUAUUCGGUGUGGGUGUAGAGCAUUGAGAGGACCUUUCCCUAGUAAGAGAGGACUAGAAAGGACGCACCUCUGGUGUACCAGUUAUCGUUCCCACGGUAAACGCUGGGUAGCCAAGUGUGGAACGGAUAACUGCUGAAAGCAUCUUAGUAGUAAACCUACCCCAAGAUGAGUGCUCUCUUAUUCCGACUUCCCCAGAGCUUUCGGUAGCACAUCCGAGACAGCGAUGGGUUCUCUACCCCUUGUGGGGAUGCAGCGAUAAAAGAUUUUUGAGAAUUCAAGGAAAGGUCACGGUGAGAUGAUCCAUUUAUCAUUAUAAUAGGUGUCAAGUUGAAGUACAGUGAUGUAAGCAGCUGAGGCAUCCUAACAGACCGAUAGACUUGAAC